Molecule: long non-coding RNA, 571 nt
Organism: Rhipicephalus sanguineus (brown dog tick)
Lineage: Eukaryota; Metazoa; Arthropoda; Arachnida; Ixodida; Ixodidae
Exons: 4
Source: RefSeq, a predicted model, not a curated record
GCCAGGUCGGGCAGAGCAUCCGCUCUUCAUGAACAGAGCGUAGGGCCGCAAGCCUGCGGACAGGUCGUCCGACCUCUGACCUGACGCCGCCCAUGACCUCUGACCUCACGCCGCCCACGACCUCUGACCCUCCAUUUCGCCUAUAUAUCACCAUCUGAGGUGAUAGCCGAAAUCGUGGACCAGAACACCUUCGAGAACUUUGCCAACCAGCACCUUCCUGCGAUAGUAGAGAUCGUGCCGGAGUUUCUCUUUGGCAACCCAGAUCAUGUGCCAGUACGACUCUGGACGACCUUUGUGCAAAGCCUAGUCAAUGGUCAGCUUGUGAACGUCACGCACUACAUAGCAGCGGUGUGCGUAGAAAAUGUAGGCUUCUUUAGUCGUGUUCUCAAUUGGAUGCUCACCCAACCGUGGAAUGCCGGAGGAGCCGAGGCGGCGGCCGGGGCAGCCGAGGCGGGGGAGCCGGGGGAGCCGAGGCCGGCAACUAGAGCUCUUGCGACUUCAUUUUUUUUUUUUUGCGACUUUAAAUUUUCUUUUGCCACUUAACUUUGUAAUAAAGUUUUGUUGAACUUCG